Homo sapiens (human) is the source of this 278-nucleotide long non-coding RNA. RefSeq lists it as uncharacterized. The transcript has 2 exons. The record is from RefSeq and is a predicted model, not a curated record. NCBI's taxonomy places the organism in Eukaryota, Metazoa, Chordata, Mammalia, Primates, Hominidae.
UGCAGUGCAAAUCCUGAGCCCAUGUAUAGGAAUUACUCUUUUGGGAUAUUUAUCUGAAAGUGGAACUGUUGGCUCAGAAGGCCCCAGGGCAUGAACCUCUCCAGCUUUGCUAGAUAUUGCCAAAUUGCUCUCCCAGAGGAAAGGCCAUGUGAGGACACAUCAAGAAGGUGGCCAUCUGCAAGCCAGGAAGUGAGGCCUCACCAGACGCCAGCCCUGCUGACUCCUGAUCUUGGACUUUCAGCCUCCAGGACAGAAAUAAAUUUCUAUUGUUUAAGCCA